UACGGAGGAUGCAAGCGUUAUCCGGAAUGAUUGGGCGUAAAGCGUCCGCAGGUGGCUAUGUAAGUCUGCUGUUAAAGAGUGAGGCUCAACCUCAUAAGAGCAGUGGAAACUACAUGGCUAGAGUGCGUUCGGGGCAGAGGGAAUUCCUGGUGUAGCGGUGAAAUGCGUAGAGAUCAGGAAGAACACCGGUGGCGAAGGCGGAUCUCUGGGCCUGUCCUGACGCUCAGGCGCGAAAGCUAGGGGAGCGAACAGG
This 253-nucleotide ribosomal RNA is filed under the name uncultured bacterium. RNAcentral describes it as "partial 16S ribosomal RNA". It matches the Rfam family "Bacterial small subunit ribosomal RNA", at positions 524 to 776 of the family's 1533-position model. The record is from RNAcentral.